Molecule: long non-coding RNA, 2618 nt
Organism: Cercocebus atys (sooty mangabey)
Lineage: Eukaryota; Metazoa; Chordata; Mammalia; Primates; Cercopithecidae
Exons: 2
Source: RefSeq, a predicted model, not a curated record
AAUGCCAAAGAUAGUGAACGUACUGUGGUCUGCUUAAUUUACAGGAUAACAAAAAGAUGAAGAAAUCUCUAGAGGAAGAACAGAGAGCCCGCAGAGACCUCGAGAAGCUGGUGAGGAAAGUCCUGAAGAACAUGAACGACCCUGCCUGGGACGAGACCAAUCUCUAAGGGACGUCCUUAGUUCUUUCUGUCGAUGACCAGUUCUGAGGUGAAGCGGGGCACCCCUGACCCACGUCGGGGUGCACUCAGGACCACAGGGCAGGGCUGGGUGGGGCACCACCUCGCUCUCUGUACAUAGAAAAGCUGGAGCUUAUUCUGCGAAUGGAGACGAUCAAACCAUGACUGAUGAAUCCAGACAGGAGGGAUUGACUCUGAGGACCUGAGCUGCAUCAGUCCCACUCUGUGAACAUCUCAGUUACCUCAUUCUGCAAUAAGUUCAGUGACUGACUAAAAGUCUUGUUUUUCCAGACUUUGAAUUGAAUAUAUAAAUAUUAUAUAUGCGUGUUGCUUGUAAAUAUCCCAUUUUGAAUGCAUACCCGUGGUGGUUCUGUCCGGGCUAAUCCCCAUGCUAGAAUGUCCUUUCCAGCUACGUGAGUAAGAAGUCCCAUGCCCGCACCCACCGGAAGCAGAAGCCCGGUGGAUGCCUGGUUCGUUCCGCAGCACCAGGGCCUCCACCGUGCUGUGACAGCACCCCCCGUGUCGGUGUUUCUGAAUAACCUUAUUUAUACCUGCAGAGAUACACGUCAGUCCCAUUCGGAAGUCUUCUCUGAAAGCAGCGUUCCAGUCCCAGACCUGUGGGGUUCCGAGGGCAGCUUGCUGGUUGACAGACUCAGUCUCGACCUCAAGGAAGGCCCAUACGGCACCGCUGCAUCCACCUAGAGGUCACUGCGGCUGACGAGAACAGAUGGAGGCCAUGCUCCAGACUGAUACUGAUGGGUGGAGCUUUGCCGUCAGGCCAGCCUCAUCCUGAGGUCUGCUCCACCACUGGCUGCAGCCAGCAGGCUUCAGUGCUCACCGAAAGUGAAAUCCCCUCCUUCAGCAAGCAUAAAGCAAUAUACACCCUAGGUUCCACUAAGCAACGUAGGCGUAAGCAGGGAGCGUUUCCCCCACUGUGUUCCAGUGCAGAGGAGACGGACGAAGCCUGUCCUCGCCGCGGCUUGCUGGGCCCAGGCUGGCUCUGGAAAGCCUGUGCAGUCCUGGGCGGGAAGCCCAGCCCGUGGGGCAGGUUUUCGUUCUGCUUCAGCAAUAAAUAAGGGUGACCGCAGGGACUUUGCUUUUGGUUUCCCUUCCCGUGAAGAGGUUGGUUUUAAAGUGAGAUACGCUUUUCCGUAGAACAAGUGUUCUAUCUUUAAACACCAAAAUUGCAACGCCAUGGAUUACUGAUCUCAGAACAGCUCAUUUUGCAUCAGAUUUGACUCUCUGCUUUUCCGUCUAUUGGCCAAAUUGCCCUUUAACUGCACCUGAAUCCUUUGUAUACUGAUGCCUUUGAGCUGGGCACCCUGGGAGAGUGUUCUGUCACUGUUUACGGUUCUUCCUUGCCCUUGCUGAUUACAGUCUCUGGUGCCCAGCAAGCCCCCUUCCUGCUUCCUUCCCUGACUCCGGUCACGGGGUCUGCCUGGGCUCAGCAUGGACCUGACCCAUGCUCGCAGAACCUGGCCUCACCUGGACUUCUCACUAGAAUUGCCAGCUUCCUCAACUUAGCAGAUUACUCACUCAUGCAGGCACAAGCAAAGAUCAACACUUUCUCUUUUGGUAAGCUUGAGUUUUACAAGUUAUUUUUUGGUGAUGCGUAAGACAUUGCAGUGGGAAACCAUUCAACUUGAGCGUACUGGAGUUUGCUGUCGUAGCAGGUUUUAACUCAGGAACAACUCUCCUCUGAUCUCUCCGCCCUCUGCCGGGAGGCGACGUUCGCCGUCCUCUCGGAGCCGGUAGCGUUGCUGUCCGAGUCCCCAGGACGGAUCUCCUGCAGACCUGCCUUAAUGCUCAGAUCGAAGUAUUUCACAAGAAUACUUGUGUUUUUAACAGCCCUUCCCCUAGACGGUGCGGCCGCGAGGGCCUCAUGUGACUGCAUUGCCUUUUCUUUCUGUGGAUCCAGUAUCUUCCUCGGCUUUUUAGGGAGCAGGAAAAACGUGUCUGAGAGCAAGUCUUUAAAAACCUGCCCUGUUGUAUAUAACUGUAUCUGUUUCACCGUGUGACCUCCCAAGGGGGUGGGAACUUGAUAUAAACAUUUAAAGGGGCCACGAUCUGCCCGAGGGUUACUCCUUUGCUCUCAGCUUGUAUGGAUGAGGAGAUUAAGCCAUUUCUUAUCCUGUAGAUGUGAAGCACUUUCAGUUUUCAGCAAUGUUGGAAUGUAGCAUCCGAAGCUCGUUCCUUCACAUUCGGUAGCGUCUGUGCUUGUCCACAUGCGCUGGGCGCCUGGGACCUUGAAUGCCUGCCCUGGUUGUGUGGACUCCUUAAUGCCAAUCAUUUCUUCACUUCUCUGGGGCCCCCAGGGCGCCCGUUGACAAGUGUGGAGAAACUCCUAAUUUAAAUGUCACAGACAAUGUCCUAGUGUUGACUACUACAAUGUUGAUGCUACACUGCUGUAAUUAUUAAACUGAUUAUUUUUCUUAUGUCACA